GAUGAACGCUGGCGGCGUGCCUAAUACAUGCAAGUCGAGCGAACAGACGAGGAGCUUGCUCCUCUGACGUUAGCGGCGGACGGGUGAGUAACACGUGGAUAACCUACCUAUAAGACUGGGAUAACUUCGGGAAACCGGAGCUAAUACCGGAUAAUAUAUUGAACCGCAUGGUUCAAUAGUGAAAGACGGUUUUGCUGUCACUUAUAGAUGGAUCCGCGCCGCAUUAGCUAGUUGGUAAGGUAACGGCUUACCAAGGCAACGAUGCGUAGCCGACCUGAGAGGGUGAUCGGCCACACUGGAACUGAGACACGGUCCAGACUCCUACGGGAGGCAGCAGUAGGGAAUCUUCCGCAAUGGGCGAAAGCCUGACGGAGCAACGCCGCGUGAGUGAUGAAGGUCUUCGGAUCGUAAAACUCUGUUAUUAGGGAAGAACAAAUGUGUAAGUAACUAUGCACGUCUUGACGGUACCUAAGCAGAAAACCACGGCGAACUACGU
RNAcentral lists this ribosomal RNA (496 nucleotides) under uncultured bacterium. RNAcentral's name for it is "partial 16S ribosomal RNA". It matches the Rfam family "Bacterial small subunit ribosomal RNA", at positions 28 to 506 of the family's 1533-position model. The record is from RNAcentral.